This 1416-nucleotide ribosomal RNA is filed under the name Lysinibacillus sp. H81. RNAcentral's name for it is "bacterial SSU rRNA". It matches the Rfam family "Bacterial small subunit ribosomal RNA". Lineage: Bacteria; Bacillati; Bacillota; Bacilli; Caryophanales; Bacillaceae. The record is from RNAcentral.
UGCAGUCGAGCGAAUUGAUGAAGAGGCUUGCUUCUUCUGAUGUGAGCGGCGCCCGUGAGAGUAACACGUGGGCAACCUACCUUAUAGUGUGGGCCCUCUGGGGGAAACGGGGUAUAAUACCAAAUAAUCUAUUUCCUCUGAUGAGGAAAUAGUGAGAGAGGGUUUCGGGUGUCUCUAUAAUAUGGGCCCGCGGCGUAUUAUAUAGGUGGAGAGGUAGCGGCUCACCGGGGAGAAUAUGCAUACCAGAUGUGAGAGGGAGAUCGGACACUGUGAGAGAGACACACGGCACACACUCAUAGGGGAGGCAGCAGUAGGGAAUCUUCCACAGUGGGAGAAAGUGUGAUGGAACAACGCCGCGUGAGUGAAGAAGGAUUUCGGCUCAAAAAACUGUGGUGAAAGGAAAGAACAUGUACAGUAAUAAGUGUGUGUACCUUGACGGUACCUUAUUAAAAAGCCACGGAUAACUACGUGCCAACACCCGGGAAAAUACAUAGGUGGAAAGCUUUGUCCGAAAUUAUUGGGCGAAAAGCGCGCGCAGGUGGUUUCUUAAGUCUGAUGUGAAAGCCCAGGGCUCACCCGUGGAGGGUCUUUGGAAACUGGGAGACUUGAGUGCAAAAGAGGAUAGUGGAAUUCCAAGUGUAGCGGUGAAAUGCGUAGAGAUUUGGAAAAACCCCAGUGGCGAAGGCGACUAUCUGGUCUGUAACUGACACUGAGGCGCGAAAGCGUGGGGAGCAAACAGGAUUAGAUACCCUGGUAGUCCACGCCGUAAACGAUGAGUGCUAAGUGUUAGGGGGUUUCCGCCCCUUAGUGCUGCAGCUAACGCAUUAAGCACUCCGCCUGGGGAGUACGGUCGCAAGACUGAAACUCAAAGGAAUUGACGGGGGCCCGCACAAGCGGUGGAGCAUGUGGUUUAAUUUGAAGCAACGCGAAGAACCUUACCAGGUCUUGACAUCCCGUUGACCACUGUAGAGAUAUGGUUUUCCCUUCGGGGACAACGGUGACAGGUGGUGCAUGGUUGUCGUCAGCUCGUGUCGUGAGAUGUUGGGUUAAGUCCCGCAACGAGCGCAACCCUUGAUCUUAGUUGCCAUCAUUUAGUUGGGCACUCUAAGGUGACUGCCGGUGACAAACCGGAGGAAGGUGGGGAUGACGUCAAAUCAUCAUGCCCCUUAUGACCUGGGCUACACACGUGCUACAAUGGACGAUACAAACGGUUGCCAACUCGCGAGAGGGAGCUAAUCCGAUAAAGUCGUUCUCAGUUCGGAUUGUAGGCUGCAACUCGCCUACAUGAAGCCGGAAUCGCUAGUAAUCGCGGAUCACCAUGCGGGGGUGAAUACGUUCCCGGCCCUUGUACACACCGCCCUUAACGGCACGAGAGUUUGUAACACCCGAAGUCGUAGGGUUAACCUUUGUAGCCAG